This 497-nucleotide ribosomal RNA is filed under the name uncultured bacterium. RNAcentral's name for it is "partial 16S ribosomal RNA". It matches the Rfam family "Bacterial small subunit ribosomal RNA", at positions 28 to 507 of the family's 1533-position model. The record is from RNAcentral.
GAUGAACGCUGGCGGCGUGCCUAAUACAUGCAAGUCGAGCGAACAGAUGAGGAGCUUGCUCCUCUGACGUUAGCGGCGGACGGGUGAGUAACACGUGGAUAACCUACCUAUAAGACUGGGAUCACUUCGGGAAACCGGCGCUAAUACCGGAUAAUAUAUUGAACCGCAUGGUUCAAUAGUGAAAGACGGUUUUGCUGUCACUUAUAGAUGGAUCCGCGCCGCAUUAGCUAGUUGGUAAGGUAACGGCUUACCAAGGCAACGAUGCGUAGCCGACCUGAGAGGGUGAUCGGCCACACUGGAACUGAGACGCGGUCCAGACGCCUACGGGAGGCAGCAGUAGGGAAUCUUCCGCAAUGGGCGAAAGCCUGACGGAGCAACGCCGCGUGAGUGAUGAAGGUCUUCGGAUCGUAAAACUCUGUUAUUAGGGAAGAACAGAUGUGUAAGUAAAUAUGCACGUCUUGACGGUACCUAAUCAGAAAGCCACGGCUAACUACGUG